This 622-nucleotide long non-coding RNA is filed under the name Zostera marina. RNAcentral's name for it is "long non-coding RNA (ZMAR_LNC004849)". Lineage: Eukaryota; Viridiplantae; Streptophyta; Magnoliopsida; Alismatales; Zosteraceae. The record is from RNAcentral.
GUCUCGCGAAAUUUCUGCUUAUAUGAUUAGUGAGAUUAAAAAUUAAGAGCAUUGUAUAACAAAACAAUAUAUGGAUUUGCAGCCAAACAAUAGAAAUGUAUAACCAAACAAUAACUUAGGAAUUUUUAUCAGCCAUACUGCAUUCCACCUGAAUUUCCUCUUCUUCAUCUGAUGAAGGGACACUCAUGACCUUCUUCGCAGAUUUCUUUGCCAUCCUCUUCCUCUUAAUACCUGGAGUUUUCUUUUCAUUAAAAGGACUACCUUUAUUUUUAUUUAUUUUUCAAUUUUCGACAAUCUUCGGCCAUUAGUUUCCUCAGUGUAGCAUCGAAAUCAGGACUAGGUCUUCGUUUGGACGAAGUUUCUGCCUUUCCUGCUAACAUAAUAUUUCGUUUCAAUCAAUAAAUGUAGUAAACAGAGGCCUAAAAAAAAAUCAUGAUCCUUUCCAUAAAUGUAUCCAUCGUGAAUUCACGAUCCUUUCCAUAAAACUGUAUCCAUCAUGAAUUCAUGAUCCUUUCCAUAAAAAUACAAAUUUAAUCACGAAUUCUAUGAUUUAGAAAAAUGAAAAACAAACAAAUGCACUACCAGUAAAUCAUACCUAUUUGAUCUAGUUCAUUGGUUAUCA